AUGUGAUCGUCUCUCGCAUAUCAAUAAGCGGAGGAAAAGAAACUAACAAGGAUUCCCCUAGUAACGGCGAGUGAAGCGGGAAGAGCUCAAAUUUGAAAUCUUAAAGGGUUUCCCUUUACGAAUUGUAGUUUAAAGAAGUGUUUUCUGUUGAGGUUUUGGUAAAAGUUCUUUGGAAUAGGACAUCAUAGAGGGUGAGAAUCCCGUAUUUGACCUUUACUUUCAACUUUGUGAUACACUUUCAAAGAGUCGGAUUGUUUGGGAAUGCAGUCCAAAAUGGGUGGUAAAUUUCAUCUAAAGCUAAAUAUUGGCGAGAGACCGAUAGCGAACAAGUACCGUGAGGGAAAGAUGAAAAGAACUUUGAAAAGAGAGUUAAACAGUACGUGAAAUUGUCAAAAGGGAAGCGUUUGACACCAGUGUUGUUUUUCUGAAAAUCAAUUAAAGAACUGUUUAUGCUAAGUUGUUUAGACUUUAUCAGCUAUCUGCUUAGUUUUGAGCUUUUCUUUAAUGCACUUUUCAGUUAACAAGUCAACAUCAAUUUCUUUUGCUGUAAAAAAGCUUGAGGAAGGUGGCUUGAGAUCCGUCUUAAGUGUUUAUAGCCUCUUGCCUAUGCAGUCGGAGAGAUUGAGGUCUGCAGCGUAGAUCCUUCGGGGCUAAAUGCAUUUGUGCUAAGUUAUAGCAUUUUAUAGACAACUUGUUGACUAUGAUUUGUCUUGUAGCUUACUCGCUUAUGUUAUUUUACCUACGCUUAGGAUGUUGACGAGACUGUCGAUCUCAUCUAUACAUGACUCUGUGCAUAUCAAUAAGCGGAGGAAAAGAGGGCUACUACCUACGCUUAGGAUGUUGACGAGACUGUCGAUCUC
This 860-nucleotide ribosomal RNA is filed under the name uncultured Neocallimastigales. RNAcentral's name for it is "partial large subunit ribosomal RNA". It matches the Rfam family "Eukaryotic large subunit ribosomal RNA", at positions 24 to 646 of the family's 3401-position model. Lineage: Eukaryota; Fungi; Neocallimastigomycota; Neocallimastigomycetes; Neocallimastigales. The record is from RNAcentral.